RNAcentral lists this transfer RNA (73 nucleotides) under Vicugna pacos (alpaca). RNAcentral's name for it is "tRNA-Ala (AGC) (tRNA-Ala-AGC-145-1)". It matches the Rfam family "tRNA". Rfam says of the family: Transfer RNA (tRNA) molecules are approximately 80 nucleotides in length. Their secondary structure includes four short double-helical elements and three loops (D, anti-codon, and T loops). Further hydrogen bonds mediate the characteristic L-shaped molecular structure. tRNAs have two regions of fundamental functional importance: the anti-codon, which is responsible for specific mRNA codon recognition, and the 3' end, to which the tRNAs corresponding amino acid is attached (by aminoacyl-tRNA synthetases). tRNAs cope with the degeneracy of the genetic code in two manners: having more than one tRNA (with a specific anti-codon) for a particular amino acid; and 'wobble' base-pairing, i.e. permitting non-standard base-pairing at the 3rd anti-codon position. Lineage: Eukaryota; Metazoa; Chordata; Mammalia; Artiodactyla; Camelidae. The record is from RNAcentral.
GGAGGGUAUAGCUCAGUGGUAGAGUGCAUGCCUAGCAUGCAUGAGGUACUGGGUUCAAUCCCCAGUACCUCCA